RNAcentral lists this ribosomal RNA (480 nucleotides) under uncultured bacterium. Its description in RNAcentral is "bacterial SSU rRNA". It matches the Rfam family "Bacterial small subunit ribosomal RNA", at positions 28 to 507 of the family's 1533-position model. The record is from RNAcentral.
GAUGAACGCUGGCGGCGUGCUUAACACAUGCAAGUCGAACGGAGCUGCUUUGAUGAAGUUUUCGGAUGGAUUUAAAACAGCUUAGUGGCGGACGGGUGAGUGACGCGUGGGUAACCUGCCUCACACUGGGGGAUAACAGUUAGAAAUGACUGCUAAUACCGCAUAAGCGCACAGUACCGCAUGGUAUAGUGUGAAAAACUCCGGUGGUACAAGAUGGACCCGCGUCUGAUUAGCUGGUUGGUGAGGUAACGGCCCACCAAGGCGACGAUCAGUAGCCGGCCUGAGAGGGUGAACGGCCACAUUGGGACUGAGACACGGCCCAAACUCCUACGGGAGGCAGCAGUGGGGAAUAUUGCACAAUGGGGGAAACCCUGAUGCAGCAACGCCGCGUGAGUGAAGAAGGCUUUCGGGUUGUAAACUUCUUUUAAGAGGGAAGAGCAGAAGACGGUACCUCUAGAAUAAGCCACGGCUAACUACAUG